Molecule: ribosomal RNA, 253 nt
Filed under: uncultured bacterium
Lineage: Bacteria
Description: partial 16S ribosomal RNA
Rfam family: Bacterial small subunit ribosomal RNA
Source: RNAcentral
UACGGAGGGUGCAAGCGUUAUCCGGAAUCAUUGGGCUUAAAGGGUCCGCAGGCGGUCUUAUAAGUCAGUGGUGAAAGCCUACAGCUCAACUGUAGAACUGCCAUUGAUACUGUAGGACUUGAAUUCGAUCGAAGUGGGCGGAAUGUGACAUGUAGCGGUGAAAUGCUUAGAUAUGUCACAGAACACCGAUAGCGAAGGCAGCUCACUAGGUCUGGAUUGACGCUCAGGGACGAAAGCGUGGGGAGCAAACAGG